This 198-nucleotide ribosomal RNA is filed under the name uncultured bacterium. RNAcentral's name for it is "partial 16S ribosomal RNA". It matches the Rfam family "Bacterial small subunit ribosomal RNA", at positions 335 to 526 of the family's 1533-position model. The record is from RNAcentral.
ACUCCUACGGGAGGCAGCAGUGGGGAAUUUUGGACAAUGGGGGCAACCCUGAUCCAGCCAUGCCGCGUGAGUGAAGAAGGCCUUCGGGUUGUAAAGCUCUUUCGGCCGGGAAGAAAUCGGCGUCUCUAACAUAGGCGCUGGAUGACGGUACCGGACUAAGAAGCACCGCUAACUACGUGCCAGCAGCCGCGGUAAUAC